GUCCCCUCCAAGCUCAUGCCCGCUUCUUCCUCCCCGGCUCCAGCAACUCGUGAUCCGCUCGCCCCUCUCCUACACUGACCAUCGAAGGUUGUUGGACAAAGAUGGUGAGCGGUGGGACUAGGAUGAGGAGGGGGAGGGAAGAAGGAGCACCCAUAGGACGGGAGGAGGAGGCGCAACAGGUAGAGCAGCAGGCCGCUGUCGAUGCGGUGCAGUAGGACGACGACAACGCUUAGCAGGACGUCUCAGGUUUUGGUGUCUCAGGUUCGAGGAACAUCUAAUUGCGAGAUUCCACGAGUCUCCCUUAGCGACCCAUACUUCGUGAUAGGCAUCCACUGAUUCGACCCGAUGGGGAGAGGGAACACUUUCCUAGACUUGUUGACUACAUUGGAGUGAUGGGCCCAGCCUACAUAUUCGACCACUACGUCAUUGCCCCCGAUGCAGUAGAUCGGAAUGGUAGGGAAUUUAACAACAAGGCGGAGUAGGUGAAGCAAGAGUUGUGGGAUUUCUUCAUAUGCGAGGCUGGAUACAAGGCCAGGGCAGAUGUGGUGGCUACCACGAGCUUUAAGAAGCUCGUCGUGGACAUGUACUACGAGACGCACAUCCAUGCCAUCGUCACUUAGCACGGCUUCAUCCUUGAGGAGAUGGUGAGCAAGCACGACGCUCCAACCAUGUCGUUGGCUCGAGACCAGUACUUGUAGCUAAAUACAGAACUUUAAUAUUCGUAUUAAAUAUGCUUAAUUUUAUCUUUUGUUAA
Zea mays is the source of this 754-nucleotide long non-coding RNA. RefSeq lists it as uncharacterized. Lineage: Eukaryota; Viridiplantae; Streptophyta; Magnoliopsida; Poales; Poaceae. The transcript has 4 exons. The record is from RefSeq and is a predicted model, not a curated record.